This 91-nucleotide transfer RNA is filed under the name Bacteroidales bacterium. RNAcentral describes it as "tRNA-Sec". It matches the Rfam family "Selenocysteine transfer RNA". Lineage: Bacteria; Pseudomonadati; Bacteroidota; Bacteroidia; Bacteroidales. The record is from RNAcentral.
UAGAGGGGAUGGGACUGGUGUCCCACCUGGUCUUCAACACCAGUAUCGGGCGGAUAAAACCGGCCGUGGCAGGUUCGAUCCCUGCCCCCUC